Xenopus tropicalis (tropical clawed frog) is the source of this 217-nucleotide long non-coding RNA. RefSeq lists it as uncharacterized. Lineage: Eukaryota; Metazoa; Chordata; Amphibia; Anura; Pipidae. The record is from RefSeq and is a predicted model, not a curated record. The transcript has 3 exons.
CAGGUAUAAAAGGUUGUGGAUCCCUGGCUUAGAAGCUUGAGAGGGGCAGGAAGGGGGCAAACUCCACCAGUGCAUUCAAAAUUAAGCUGCUAUUCUGUGAAGCACCACAUGAGCACUCUACCAUAUGUGAACCCCCUCUAAAGGUAACUCUAGGUGCCAGAGAAUGCAAGGACACAGCACAACAUGCUGAUUCGGAUCUUUAGCGCUAAAAGUUGCA